CCUUACCUUUCAGUGAUUUCAUUGUUUUAAUGUUUGAGAAAGUUACUUGUCCUUCCUUUCUGCUGUAGGUCAGUGGGUUACCCACCCCAGAUCUGAGCUGGCAACUAGAUGGAAAGCCCAUCCGCCCCGACAGCGCUCACAAGAGCUCGUGCUCGUGUGAGAAUGGGGUGCACUCUCUGAUCAUUGAGCCAGUCACGUCUCGAGAUGCCGGCAUCUACACGUGUAUAGCCACCAAUCGAGCAGGACAGAACUCUUUCAGCCUAGAGCUGGUGGUUGCUGCUAAAGAAGCACACAAACCCCCCGUGUUUAUCGAGAAGCUGCAGAACACAGGAGUUGCUGAUGGGUACCCGGUGCGCCUGGAGUGCCGGGUUGCAGGGGUGCCACCGCCGCAGAUAUUUUGGAAGAAAGAAAAUGAGUCACUCACUCACAGCACUGACCGAGUGAGCAUGCACCAGGAUAAUCAUGGUUACAUUUGCCUGCUCAUUCAGGGAGCCACAAAAGAAGAUGCUGGCUGGUACACUGUGUCUGCCAAGAACGAAGCAGGGAUUGUGUCCUGUACUGCCAGGCUGGAUGUAUACAUUUCUCAACAUUAAUAGUGAAAUCCCACCAGGAGAACAAAUACCCAAGUAUCACUCAGGAAGUGGAAUUAUUAGCAAGCUAUGCAUGUUGAUUUCUCUUACACUGGCUAGUCAGUUGUGGCUUCUUUAUUCAAGCAUCCUUAGGAGUUAACAGUAGACAAAGGCAUCGAUGUUUUUCACGUUGUCUUAUUACUGUGUUCUGCAAAUGACUGUUUUUAACAUUUCUUCCUGUAUUAUAAUCUUAUCACACUAUCCUAAUGCACUCUAGAUGUGUGUGCCAUUGAUGCUGGAAUGCGUACUGUUGCAGCUUAGUGCUUUUCUCAUUAAUAGAUUUUAGCAGCUCAGCAACAGAUUUGUGAGUGUUUGUGUAUCCAUAUUUGUAUACAUUUGUCCUGAAUUUUAAAAAAACCUGUC
RNAcentral lists this long non-coding RNA (992 nucleotides) under Castor canadensis (American beaver). Its description in RNAcentral is "lncRNA (ENSCCNG00000029138.1)". The record is from RNAcentral. Lineage: Eukaryota; Metazoa; Chordata; Mammalia; Rodentia; Castoridae.